GGGCUCGUAGUUCAAUGGUAGAACGCUUCAUUUGCAAUGAAGAGGUUGGGGGUUCGAUUCCUCUCGGGUCCA
This 72-nucleotide transfer RNA is filed under the name Candidatus Berkelbacteria bacterium CG2_30_39_44. Its description in RNAcentral is "tRNA-Ala". It matches the Rfam family "tRNA". From Rfam's summary of the family: Transfer RNA (tRNA) molecules are approximately 80 nucleotides in length. Their secondary structure includes four short double-helical elements and three loops (D, anti-codon, and T loops). Further hydrogen bonds mediate the characteristic L-shaped molecular structure. tRNAs have two regions of fundamental functional importance: the anti-codon, which is responsible for specific mRNA codon recognition, and the 3' end, to which the tRNAs corresponding amino acid is attached (by aminoacyl-tRNA synthetases). tRNAs cope with the degeneracy of the genetic code in two manners: having more than one tRNA (with a specific anti-codon) for a particular amino acid; and 'wobble' base-pairing, i.e. permitting non-standard base-pairing at the 3rd anti-codon position. RNAcentral also lists the same sequence under 5 other names. The record is from RNAcentral. Lineage: Bacteria; Candidatus Berkelbacteria.